RNAcentral lists this ribosomal RNA (1394 nucleotides) under bacterium NLAE-zl-C178. RNAcentral describes it as "16S ribosomal RNA". It matches the Rfam family "Bacterial small subunit ribosomal RNA". The record is from RNAcentral.
AGUCGAGGGGCAGCAUUUUAGUUUGCUUGCAAACUAAAGAUGGCGACCGGCGCACGGGUGAGUAACACGCUAUCCAACCUGCCGAUAACUCGGGGAUAGCCUUUCGAAAGAAAGAUUAAUAUCCGAUAGUAUAUUAAAACCGCAUGGUUUUACUAUUAAAGAAUUUCGGUUAUCGAUGGGGAUGCGUUCCAUUAGUUUGUUGGCGGGGUAACGGCCCACCAAGACUACGAUGGAUAGGGGUUCUGAGAGGAAGGUCCCCCACAUUGGAACUGAGACACGGUCCAAACUCNUACGGGAGGCAGCAGUGAGAAAUAUUGGUCAAUGGACGAGAGUCUUGAACCAGCCAAGUAGCGUGAAGAAUGACUCCCCUAUGGGUUGUAAACUUCUUUUAUAUGGGAAUAAAGUAUUCCACGUGUGGGGAUUUUGUAUGUACCAUAUGAAUAAGGAUCGGCUAACUCCGUGCCAGCAGCCGCGGUAAUACGGAGGAUCCGAGCGUUAUCCGGAUUUAUUGGGUUUAAAGGGAGCGUAGGUGGAUUGUUAAGUCAGUUGUGAAAGUUUGCGGCUCAAACCGUAAAAUUGCAGUUGAAACUGGCAGUCUUGAGUACAGUAGAGGUGGGCGGAAUUCGUGGUGUAGCGGUGAAAUGCUUAGAUAUCACGAAGAACUCCGAUUGCGAAGGCAGCUCACUAGACUGCAACUGACACUGAUGCUCGAAAGUGUGGGUAUCAAACAGGAUUAGAUACCCUGGUAGUCCACACAGUAAACGAUGAAUACUCGCUGUUUGCGAUAUACAGUAAGCGGCCAAGCGAAAGCAUUAAGUAUUCCACCUGGGGAGUACGCCGGCAACGGUGAAACUCAAAGGAAUUGACGGGGGCCCGCACAAGCGGAGGAACAUGUGGUUUAAUUCGANUGAUACGCGAGGAACCUUACCCGGGCUUAAAUUGCAUUUGAAUAAUCUGGAAACAGGUUAGCCGCAAGGCAAAUGUGAAAGGUGCUGCAUGGUUGUCGUCAGCUCGUGCCGUGAGGUGUCGGCUUAAGUGCCAUAACGAGCGCAACCCUUAUCUUUAGUUACUAACAGGUCAUGCUGAGGACUCUAGAGAGACUGCCGUCGUAAGAUGUGAGGAAGGUGGGGAUGACGUCAAAUCAGCACGGCCCUUACGUCCGGGGCUACACACGUGUUACAAUGGGGGGUACAGAAGGCAGCUACCUGGCGACAGGAUGCUAAUCCCAAAAACCUCUCUCAGUUCGGAUCGAAGUCUGCAACCCGACUUCGUGAAGCUGGAUUCGCUAGUAAUCGCGCAUCAGCCAUGGCGCGGUGAAUACGUUCCCGGGCCUUGUACACACCGCCCGUCAAGCCAUGAAAGCCGGGGGUACCUGAAGUACGUACCGCAAGGAG